UACGUAGGGCGCAAGCGUUGUCCAGAAUUAUUGGGCGUAAAGCGCUCGUAGGCGGCCUGUUACGUCUGCUGUGAAAUCCCGGGGCUUAACCCCGGGCGUGCAGUGGAUACGGGCAGGCUGGAGGCAGGCAGGGGAGAACGGAAUUCCUGGUGUAGCGGUGAAAUGCGCAGAUAUCAGGAGGAACACCGGUGGCGAAGGCGGUUCUCUGGGCCUGUACUGACGCUGAGGAGCGAAAGCGUGGGGAGCGAACAGG
This 253-nucleotide ribosomal RNA is filed under the name uncultured bacterium. RNAcentral's name for it is "partial 16S ribosomal RNA". It matches the Rfam family "Bacterial small subunit ribosomal RNA", at positions 524 to 776 of the family's 1533-position model. The record is from RNAcentral.